Molecule: ribosomal RNA, 253 nt
Filed under: uncultured bacterium
Lineage: Bacteria
Description: partial 16S ribosomal RNA
Rfam family: Bacterial small subunit ribosomal RNA
Source: RNAcentral
UACGAAGGGGGCUAGCGUUGCUCGGAAUCACUGGGCGUAAAGCGCACGUAGGCGGAUUGUUAAGUCGGGGGUGAAAUCCUGGAGCUCAACUCCAGAACUGCCUUCGAUACUGGCGAUCUUGAGUCCGGGAGAGGUGAGUGGAACUCCGAGUGUAGAGGUGAAAUUCGUAGAAAUUCGGAAGAACACCAGUGGCGAAGGCGGCUCACUGGCCCGGUACUGACGCUGAGGUGCGAAAGCGUGGGGAGCAAACAGG